This 71-nucleotide transfer RNA is filed under the name Marmota monax (woodchuck). RNAcentral describes it as "tRNA.Ala". The record is from RNAcentral. Lineage: Eukaryota; Metazoa; Chordata; Mammalia; Rodentia; Sciuridae.
GUGGUUGUGGAUCAGCGAUAGAGCGCUUGCCUAGCAUGUGCAAGGCCCUGGGUUCGAUCCUCAGCACCACA